UUGGAGGGCAAGUCUGGUGCCAGCAGCCGCGGUAAUUCCAGCUCCAAUAGCGUAUAUUAAAGUUGUUGCAGUUAAAAAGCUCGUAGUUGAAUUUCGGGAUCAAUAUUUCGGUCAUGCCGUUGGUAUGCACUGUUAUCAUUGAUUUCUCACCUUCUAAAGAACCGUAAUGCCAUUAAUUUAGUGUUACGGGGAAUUAGGACUGUUACCUUGAAAAAAUUAGAGUGUUUAAAGCAGGCUCACGCUUGAAUACAUUAGCAUGGAAUAAUGAAAUAGGACAUCCGAUUCCAUUUUGUUGGUUUCUAGGAUCGAUGUAAUGAUUAAUAGGGAUAGUUGGGGGCAUUAGUAUUCAAUUGUCAGAGGUGAAAUCCUUGGAUUUAUUGAAGACUAACUACUGCGAAAGCAUUUGCCAAGGAUGUUUUCAUUAAUCAAGAACGAAAGUUAGGGGAUCGAAGACGAUCAGAUACCGUCGUAGUCUUAACCAUAAACUAUGCCGACUAGGGAUCGGAUGAUGUUAACUUUUUAAUGACUCAUUCGGCGCCUUACGGGAAAC
This 550-nucleotide ribosomal RNA is filed under the name uncultured Glomerales. RNAcentral's name for it is "SSU rRNA". It matches the Rfam family "Eukaryotic small subunit ribosomal RNA", at positions 548 to 1098 of the family's 1831-position model. The record is from RNAcentral. Lineage: Eukaryota; Fungi; Glomeromycota; Glomeromycetes; Glomerales; Glomeraceae.